RNAcentral lists this long non-coding RNA (232 nucleotides) under Selaginella moellendorffii. RNAcentral's name for it is "long non-coding RNA (SMOE_LNC000619)". The record is from RNAcentral. Lineage: Eukaryota; Viridiplantae; Streptophyta; Lycopodiopsida; Selaginellales; Selaginellaceae.
CCUGAUGUCAUCCCAUCUCCUCUUCGGUGUUUGGGUCGGUUGGAUGGAGCAAUACUUGGGCAGGCUCCAGUUCCGGUUCUUGAGUGAACCCACCCCACGGGUCCGCUGGAACUUCCUCCUCCCGUCCUUCCUGGUGGUGCUCUUGCUCCGUAUCCAUCACCUCUGUGGCUCUGACUACCGGUAUCUCGAAAGGUGGUGCAGAACUCUGUAGGGGAGUUGGGGAGUUUGCAGA